Small nucleolar RNA from Frankliniella occidentalis (western flower thrips), 175 nucleotides. RefSeq annotates it as small nucleolar RNA SNORA53. Lineage: Eukaryota; Metazoa; Arthropoda; Insecta; Thysanoptera; Thripidae. The record is from RefSeq and is a predicted model, not a curated record. The transcript has a single exon.
UGCACGUUCCUUAGAUCCGCCUCCGGGGUCCAGCGUCCUUUUUGGACAUCGGGCCCACUGACCUUGCCGGUUGGAUAUCGGUGGUGAAUGAGUCAUAAGCGUGCUAGAGUACCAACUUGCAUUUCCAGCUCUUCCUCAGAUCUUUCUUUCUGUGAAAUCUGGUUUUGCGAACACA